GUGGGAAGCAGUGGGAAGCAGUG
Molecule: microRNA, 23 nt
Filed under: Mus musculus (house mouse)
Lineage: Eukaryota; Metazoa; Chordata; Mammalia; Rodentia; Muridae
Description: mmu-miR-6405
Source: miRBase by way of RNAcentral